GUUGUCGCACGGUUUUGAUUUUACCGUUUCGAUAUCGAUUGGUCGAAAGGACGACAAACGAACGACAAACACUUGACAUGCUCGACAUAGUUUUUUCGAUCGAUUUUCCUUCAAUUCGACGUCGAUUAUCGUCGACGUAAACAGUUUGACAGUUCUCUUCAAUUGAUCUUGUUCGGACUUGAUUGCAACCGAAUCGAACCAGCUGUCGUUACUUUUGGUAUUUGGUUUAGGAGCUGAGAAGAUUUUGGACGAUUUUCGACGGAUAAUAGUGUCUUCCUUGGUGUCUUCUAUUCCAGAUUUCGGUCUUCGAGGCGGUGAAGGAGGACGGGAAAUUUGGCGGGUCGUUCCGGAAGACGGGACGGGAAGGAACCGGUUUGCGAUCGAGGUAGUGGUUGGUGUUUGGUGUUUUACUUUCCGCGGGAGGUUGCGGCACAUACCUGAUGAAACUGGCAACUAAAAUAUUCCAAUCUGAUCAUGCCGGAAACCAUGAGUUCGCCCCCGUAGAACCCACGGAAGUAUUCACGUUAUCUCGUACCCCGGUGGCCAUCAAUCCGCCUGAGAUCCAAGAUUGGCGGGUUAAACUUUGAUCAGCUCGUCGAGAAGCAAAAGUCCAACACCAACAUCCAAGCCGGAAGCUGCGGUCAAGGCAAAUCCGAGAGCAUCCGAAGAAUGCCAAGUUGGAGAAGAAUCGGCGAUCCGGAAGUUAAAUUUCGUGAAAAAGUUAAUA
Culex quinquefasciatus (southern house mosquito) is the source of this 727-nucleotide long non-coding RNA. RefSeq lists it as uncharacterized. The transcript has 3 exons. NCBI's taxonomy places the organism in Eukaryota, Metazoa, Arthropoda, Insecta, Diptera, Culicidae. The record is from RefSeq and is a predicted model, not a curated record.